GUGCCAGCCGCCGCGGUAAUACGGAGGGUGCAAGCGUUGUCCGGAAUCACUGGGCGUAAAGGGUGCGCAGGCGGGGCAGCAAGUCGGAGGUGAAAGCCCGUGGCUCAACCACGGAAGUGCCUUCGAAACUGUUGCUCUUGAGUCCCGGAGAGGUUGCCGGAAUUCCUGGUGUAGGGGUGAAAUCCGUAGAGAUCAGGAGGAACACCGGCGGCGAAAGCGACUGGCUGGAUCGGGACUGACGCUGAGGCACGAAAGCGUGGGCAGCGAACAGGAUUAGAAACCCCAGUAGUCC
RNAcentral lists this ribosomal RNA (292 nucleotides) under uncultured bacterium. Its description in RNAcentral is "partial 16S ribosomal RNA". It matches the Rfam family "Bacterial small subunit ribosomal RNA", at positions 505 to 796 of the family's 1533-position model. The record is from RNAcentral.